This 440-nucleotide ribosomal RNA is filed under the name uncultured bacterium. RNAcentral's name for it is "partial 16S ribosomal RNA". It matches the Rfam family "Bacterial small subunit ribosomal RNA", at positions 338 to 795 of the family's 1533-position model. The record is from RNAcentral.
CCUACGGGUGGCAGCAGUGGGGAAUAUUGCACAAUGGGGGAAACCCUGAUGCAGCGACGCCGCGUGAGUGAAGAAGUAAUUCGUUAUGUAAAGCUCUAUCAGCAGGGAAGAAAAUGACGGUACCUGAGUAAGAAGCACCGGCUAACUACGUGCCAGCAGCCGCGGUAAUACGUAGGGGGCAAGCGUUCUCCGGAUUUACUGGGGGUAAAGGGAGCGUAGACGGCAGUGCAAGUAUGGAGUGAAAGGCGGGGGCCCCACCCCCGGACUGCUUGGGAAAAUGUAAGGCUGGAGUGAAGGAGAGGGAAGUGGAAUUUCUAGUGUAGCGGUGAAAGGCGGAGAUAUGAGGAGGAACACCAGUGGCGAAGGCGGCUUACUGGACUGUAACUGACGUUGAGGCUCGAAAGCGUGGGGAGCAAACAGGAUUAGAUACCCCAGUAGUC